CUUGGUCAUUUAGAGGAAGUAAAAGUCGUAACAAGGUUUCCGUAGGUGAACCUGCGGAAGGAUCAUUAACGAGUUAGGGUCUCUCUGGCCCGACCUCCCAACCCUUUGUCUACUUGGCCAUCGUUGCUUCGGCGAGCCCGUCCUCACGGACCGCCGGAGGGAUCUUUACUGGCCCUCUGGUCCGCGCUCGUCGGUAGCCCAACCUUUAAAAUCUUUAACUAAACGUGCCUUAAUCUAAGUACAAUUAUUAAAUAAAAGCAAAACUUACAACAACGGAUCUCUUGGUUCUGGCAUCGAUGAAGAACGCAGCGAAAUGCGAUAAGUAAUGCGAAUUGCAGAAUUCCAGUGAGUCAUCGAAUCUUUGAACGCACAUUGCGCCCUUUGGUAUUCCGAAGGGCAUGCCUGUUCGAGCGUCAUUAUCACCCCUCAAGCCCUCGGCUUGGUGUUGGACGGUUUGGUGGAGGCCCCCUCGGGGGUUCCUGCCCCUCCCAAAGACAAUGACGGCGGCCUCGUUGGACCCCCGGUACACUGAGUUCUUCACGGGACACGUAUCGGACACAUGGGUUUACGGGACACGGUCUGCCUCCCCUCAGGGAGAAUCUUUCUAAGGUUGACCUCGGAUCAGGUAGGGAUACCCGCUGAACUUAAGCAUAUCAAUAAGCGGAGGAAAAGAAACCAACAGGGAUUGCCUCAGUAACGGCGAGUGAAGCGGCAACAGCUCAAAUUUGAAAUCUGGCCUCUUUGGGGUCCGAGUUGUAAUUUGUAGAGGAUGUUUCGGGUACCGCCUCGGUUUAAAUUUCUUGGAACAGAAUGUCAAAGAGGGUGAGAAUCCCGUCUUGGACCGGCGGUAGGGCCCAUGUGAAACUCCUUCGACGAGUCGAGUUGUUUGGGAAU
RNAcentral lists this small RNA (894 nucleotides) under uncultured Exophiala. RNAcentral's name for it is "eukaryotic LSU rRNA". The stretch from base 612 to 894 matches the Rfam family "Eukaryotic large subunit ribosomal RNA", at positions 1 to 281 of the family's 3401-position model. The record is from RNAcentral. Lineage: Eukaryota; Fungi; Ascomycota; Eurotiomycetes; Chaetothyriales; Herpotrichiellaceae.